ACUGACGGUUCAGAUGCGAAAGCGUGGGGGAGCAAACAGGAUUAGAUACCCUGNGUAGUCCACGCCGUAAACGAUGUCUACUUGGAGGUUGUGGCCUUGAGCCGUGGCUUUCGGAGCUAACGCGUUAAGUAGACCGCCUGGGGAGUACGGUCGCAAGAUUAAAACUCAAAUGAAUUGACGGGGGCCCGCACAAGCGGUGGAGCAUGUGGUUUAAUUCGAUGCAACGCGAAGAACCUUACCUACUCUUGACAUCCAGAGAAGCUUGAAGAGAUUCGAGUGUGCCUUCGGGAACUCUGAGACAGGUGCUGCAUGGCUGUCGUCAGCUCGUGUUGUGAAAUGUUGGGUUAAGUCCCGCAACGAGCGCAACCCUUAUCCUUGUUUGCCAGCACUUCGGGUGGGAACUCCAGGGAGACUGCCGGUGAUAAACCGGAGGAAGGUGGGGACGACGUCAAGUCAUCAUGGCCCUUACGAGUAGGGCUACACACGUGCUACAAUGGCAUAUACAGAGGGCAGCAAGACCGCGAGGUGGAGCGAAUCCCAGAAAGUAUGUCGUAGUCCGGAUCGGAGUCUGCAACUCGACUCCGUGAAGUCGGAAUCGCUAGUAAUCGUGGAUCAGAAUGCCACGGUGAAUACGUUCCCGGGCCUUGUACACACCGCCCGUCACACCAUGGGAGUGGGCUGCACCAGAAGUAGAUAGCUUAACCUUCGGGAGGGCGUUUACCACGGUGUGGUUCAUGACUGGGGUGAAGUCGUAACAAGGUAACCG
This 766-nucleotide ribosomal RNA is filed under the name uncultured bacterium. RNAcentral's name for it is "bacterial SSU rRNA". It matches the Rfam family "Bacterial small subunit ribosomal RNA", at positions 739 to 1502 of the family's 1533-position model. The record is from RNAcentral.